This 70-nucleotide transfer RNA is filed under the name pig gut metagenome. It matches the Rfam family "tRNA". Rfam says of the family: Transfer RNA (tRNA) molecules are approximately 80 nucleotides in length. Their secondary structure includes four short double-helical elements and three loops (D, anti-codon, and T loops). The record is from RNAcentral.
CGACGUAGCUUAGCUGGUAGAGCAACGCACUCGUAACGCGUAGGUCGUAGGUUCAAAUCCUAUUGUCGGC